UGGCGGUAGGCUUAACACAUGCAAGUCGUGCGAGAAAGUAUCUUCGGAUAUGAGUAGAGCGGCGGACGGGUGAGUAACGCGUAGGAAUCUACCUAGUAGAAGGGGAUAGCCCGGGGAAACCCGGAUUAAUACCGUAUACCUCCUUCGGGAGAAAGAAGGCCUCUCUUUGAAGCUUUCGCUAUUAGAUGAGCCUGCGUAAGAUUAGCUUGUUGGUGAGGUAAAGGCUCACCAAGGCGACGAUCUUUAGCUGGUCUGAGAGGACGAUCAGCCACAUUGGGACUGAGACACGGCCCAGACUCCUACGGGAGGCAGCAGUGGGGAAUAUUGGACAAUGGGCGCAAGCCUGAUCCAGCCAUACCGCGUGUGUGAAGAAGGCCUUCGGGUUGUAAAGCACUUUAAGCAGGGAGAAAAAGUUAUAAGUUAAUACCUUAUACCCGUGAUGUUACCUGCAGAAUAAGCACCGGCUAAUUCCGUGCCAGCAGCCGCGGUAAUACGGAAGGUGCAAGCGUUAAUCGGAAUUACUGGGCGUAAAGCGCGCGUAGGUGGUUUGUUAAGUUGGAUGUGAAAGCCCUGGGCUCAACCUAGGAACUGCAUCCAAAACUAACUCACUAGAGUACGAUAGAGGGAGGUAGAAUUCAUAGUGUAGCGGUGGAAUGCGUAGAUAUUAUGAAGAAUACCAGUGGCGAAGGCGGCCUCCUGGAUCUGUACUGACACUGAGGUGCGAAAGCGUGGGUAGCGAACAGGAUUAGAUACCCUGGUAGUCCACGCCGUAAACGAUGACAACUAGCUGUUGGAAGACAACGUCUUUCAGUGGCGCAGCUAACGUUUUAAGUUGUCCGCCUGGGGAGUACGGCCGCAAGGCUAAAACUCAAAUGAAUUGACGGGGACCCGCACAAGCGGUGGAGCAUGUGGUUUAAUUCGAUGCAACGCGAAAAACCUUACCUAC
This 946-nucleotide ribosomal RNA is filed under the name uncultured Gammaproteobacteria bacterium. Its description in RNAcentral is "bacterial SSU rRNA". It matches the Rfam family "Bacterial small subunit ribosomal RNA", at positions 37 to 978 of the family's 1533-position model. Lineage: Bacteria; Pseudomonadati; Pseudomonadota; Gammaproteobacteria. The record is from RNAcentral.